RNAcentral lists this ribosomal RNA (511 nucleotides) under uncultured bacterium. Its description in RNAcentral is "partial 16S ribosomal RNA". It matches the Rfam family "Bacterial small subunit ribosomal RNA", at positions 28 to 507 of the family's 1533-position model. The record is from RNAcentral.
GACCAACGCUGGCGGCAUGCCUAACACAUGCUAGUCGAACGGACAGAACAGGGAAGCUUUUCGGAGUGGAACUGGAAAGUUAGUGGCGGAUGGGUGAGUAACGCGUGGACAACCUACCUUGUAAAGGGGAAUAACCUCGAGAAAUCGAAGCUAAUACCCCAUAAUAACCUUGCUUCGCAUGAAGUAAGGAGGAAAGGCGGCCUUAGCGCUGUCGAUACAAGAUGGGUCCUCGUCUGAUUAGCUAGUUGGUGAGGUAAAGGCUCACCAAGGCGACGAUCAGUAGCCGGCCUGAGAGGGUGAACGGCCACAGUGGGACUGAGACACGGCCCAAACUCCUACGGGAGGCAGCAGUGGGGAAUCUUCCGCAAUGGGCGAAAGCCUGACGGAGCAAUGCCGCGUGAGUGAAGAAGGCCUUCGGGUUGUAAAACUCUGUCCUUAUCGAAGAGAGAGUGUUGUAGUAACUGACAAUACUAGGACGGUAGAUGAGGAGGAAGCCCCGGCUAACUAUGUG